RNAcentral lists this ribosomal RNA (877 nucleotides) under Microbacterium testaceum. Its description in RNAcentral is "bacterial SSU rRNA". It matches the Rfam family "Bacterial small subunit ribosomal RNA", at positions 68 to 957 of the family's 1533-position model. The record is from RNAcentral. Lineage: Bacteria; Bacillati; Actinomycetota; Actinomycetes; Micrococcales; Microbacteriaceae.
GUGAAGCCAAGCUUGCUUGGUGGAUCAGUGGCGAACGGGUGAGUAACACGUGAGCAACCUGCCCUGGACUCUGGGAUAAGCGCUGGAAACGGCGUCUAAUACUGGAUAUGAGACGUGAUCGCAUGGUCGUGUUUGGAAAGAUUUUUCGGUCUGGGAUGGGCUCGCGGCCUAUCAGCUUGUUGGUGAGGUAAUGGCUCACCAAGGCGUCGACGGGUAGCCGGCCUGAGAGGGUGACCGGCCACACUGGGACUGAGACACGGCCCAGACUCCUACGGGAGGCAGCAGUGGGGAAUAUUGCACAAUGGGCGAAAGCCUGAUGCAGCAACGCCGCGUGAGGGAUGACGGCCUUCGGGUUGUAAACCUCUUUUAGCAGGGAAGAAGCGAAAGUGACGGUACCUGCAGAAAAAGCGCCGGCUAACUACGUGCCAGCAGCCGCGGUAAUACGUAGGGCGCAAGCGUUAUCCGGAAUUAUUGGGCGUAAAGAGCUCGUAGGCGGUUUGUCGCGUCUGCUGUGAAAUCCCGAGGCUCAACCUCGGGGGUGCAGUGGGUACGGGCAGACUAGAGUGCGGUAGGGGAGAUUGGAAUUCCUGGUGUAGCGGUGGAAUGCGCAGAUAUCAGGAGCAACACCGAUGGCGAAGGCAGAUUUCUGGGCCGUAACUGACGCUGAGGAGCGAAAGGGUGGGGAGCAAACAGGCUUAGAUACCCUCCUAGUCCACCCCGUAAACGUUGGGAACUAGUUGUGGGGACCAUUCCACGGUUUCCGUGACGCAGCUAACGCAUUAAGUUCCCCGCCUGGGGAGUACGGCCGCAAGGCUAAAACUCAAAGGAAUUGACGGGGACCCGCACAAGCGGCGGAGCAUGCGGAUUAAUUGGAAGG